RNAcentral lists this ribosomal RNA (1074 nucleotides) under uncultured eukaryote. Its description in RNAcentral is "SSU rRNA". It matches the Rfam family "Eukaryotic small subunit ribosomal RNA", at positions 577 to 1674 of the family's 1831-position model. The record is from RNAcentral.
CGGUAAUUCCAGCUCCAAUGAUAUAUGCUAACAUUGUUGCAGUUAAAAAGCUCGUAGUCGAAUUUUUAAGGGAAUCAAUUUCGUGUGGUCUUAAUGAACUACAAAGGAAGAUGAUUUAUCUUAUUUUGCGCUUAUACACCGUUAAAAUUCGUUUUCUGACAGUGAAUUAAGUGUGUAUUUACUUUGAGAAAAUUAGAGUGUUCUAAGCAGUCUUACGGCUUUAUCCUAAAGCAUGGAAUGAUAAGUAAUGACAUCGGUUAAUUUCUGUUGGUUUGAGAGGUUGAUGUAAUGAUUUAUAGAGUUAGUCGGAGGUAUUAGUAUUUUGUCGUUAGAGGUGAAAUUCCGGGAUCGACAAAAGACUAACAACUGCGAAGGCAUUUACCUAGGAUUUGCUCCUUGAUCAAGAACGUAAGUUGGGGGAUCGAAGACGAUCAGAUACCGUCGUAGUCUCAACUUUAAACUAUAUCAGCUAAAAGUUGGCAAAUGUUUAUAUGACUUUGUUAGAACCUUAAGAGAAAUCAAAGCGUUUGGGUUCCGGGGGGAGUAUGGUCGCAAGUCUGAAACUUAAAGGAAUUGACGGAAGGGCACCACAAGAUGUGGAUCCUGUGGCUUAAUUUGACUCAACGCUGGAAAACUUACCAGGUCCAGACAUAGGUAAGAUUGACAGAUUGAUAGCUCUUUCUUGAUUCUAUGGGUGGUGGUGCAUGGCCGUUCUUAGUUGGUGGAGUGAUUUGUCUGGUUAAUUCCGUUAGCGAACGAGACUAUUACCUGCUAAAUAGUACGAUCUUUUAAUUAGGAUAGUUGCUUCUUAGAGGGACUGGCUUUGCAUAAAUUGCUGGAAGUUGGUAGCAAUAACAGGUCUGUGAUGCCCUUAGAUGUCCUGGGCAGCGCACGGGCUACAAUAGGAGAGUAACUAAGCUUGUUCAACUUAGCUCGAAAAGGGCUGUGAAAUCUUAAAACUAUUCUUUAUUUGGGAUCGCGCUUUGAAAUUUUAACGUGUAAACCAGGAAUACCUAGUAAGUGUAUGUCAUCAACGUGCACUGAAUACGUCCCUGCCCUUUGUACACACCGCCC